UUUUUAUGUGGACCUCUGUCCUUGUAUACUCUGUGUACUUGGAUAGAACCACAUAAGCAGGUGAAACUUCUUAGAGGAACUGGCGUCCAAAAAGGCGCACGAGAAAGAGCAAUAACAGGUCUGUGAUGCCCUAAGAUGUCCGGGGCCGCACGCGUGCUACAAUGACGAUGCUACUGAGCAUGAUUAACUUGUCCGAAAGGAUUGGUGAAACUGUUCAAUCAUCGUCGUGACUGGGAUUGGGGUUUGCAAUUAUCCCCCAUGAACCAGGAAUUCCUAGUAAGCACAAGUCAUAAGCUUGUGCUGAUUACGUCCCUGCCCUUUGUACACACCGCCCGUCGCUACUACCGAUUGAAUGGUUUAGCAAGGACAUCGGAUUGAGUUCUUGCGGUUACGGCUGCUUGAAUUUGAGAAGAUGUCCGAACUUGAUCAUUUAGAGGAAGUAAAAGUCGUAACAAGGUUUCCGUAGGUGAACCUGCGGAAGGAUCAUUA
Molecule: ribosomal RNA, 489 nt
Filed under: Dactylogyrus balkanicus
Lineage: Eukaryota; Metazoa; Platyhelminthes; Monogenea; Dactylogyridea; Dactylogyridae
Description: bacterial SSU rRNA
Rfam family: Eukaryotic small subunit ribosomal RNA
Source: RNAcentral